RNAcentral lists this ribosomal RNA (466 nucleotides) under uncultured bacterium. RNAcentral describes it as "partial 16S ribosomal RNA". It matches the Rfam family "Bacterial small subunit ribosomal RNA", at positions 28 to 507 of the family's 1533-position model. The record is from RNAcentral.
GAUGAACGCUGGCGGCGUGCUUAACACAUGCAAGUCGAACGAUGAAGCCCAGCUUGCUGGGUGGAUUAGUGGCGAACGGGUGAGUAACACGUGAGUAACCUGCCCUUAACUCUGGGAUAAGCCUGGGAAACUGGGUCUAAUACCGGUUAGGAGCGCCUACCGCAUGGUGGGUGUUGGAAAGAUUUAUCGGUUUUGGAUGGACUCGCGGCCUAUCAGCUUGUUGGUGAGGUAAUGGCUCACCAAGGCGACGACGGGUAGCCGGCCUGAGAGGGUGACCGGCCACACUGGGACUGAGACACGGCCCAGACUCCUACGGGAGGCAGCAGUGGGGAAUAUUGCACAAUGGGCGAAAGCCUGAUGCAGCGACGCCGCGUGAGGGAUGACGGCCUUCGGGUUGUAAACCUCUUUCAGUAGGGAAGAAGCGAAAGUGACGGUACCUGCAGAAGAAGCACCGGCUAACUACGUG